Long non-coding RNA from Oreochromis niloticus (Nile tilapia), 972 nucleotides. RefSeq lists it as uncharacterized. The record is from RefSeq and is a predicted model, not a curated record. NCBI's taxonomy places the organism in Eukaryota, Metazoa, Chordata, Actinopteri, Cichliformes, Cichlidae. The transcript is spliced from 5 exons.
CCUAUUUUCAAGUAUCAUUACUUAACGGAGGCUCAAGGAGGAAGCCCCCUGGCAACGCUCCGGUGGAGCGGACACCGCCGUUGCAGUCGACUAACCCUUUUCCCUCGUCUCUGCCGGUACUAUUCCCGAGAAACUGGGGCAGGAGUGCUGGAAGUGUGGGCUGCUGUGACACCUGAGGCGGGAGUGCCCGCUGAUGGAGUGACGCCGGGGAGUGGAAGAGAGAGGAGUGGAACCUGAGGUCCGCUGGAACGCUGGCCUAACUGAGAAUGGAUGCCGAACCAAAGAGCAUUGUGUGCAGUAGAGCAAAAGUGAACAAUCACCCGAGCAUUGUGUGGGGUCUGGAUCAUUCACAAUCAGUGUUGUUCAACACGCCCAUUUGCAACACAGCUUUGAAGAUCUGCUGGCAUCUUCCAGGCUACAGGGCUUAUUUCCUUAGACUAUAGCAGGAAAACAAAAUCCUAUCACACAUCGCUGCUGAAUAUCUGGGGGAUUUUUUGAUGGAGAAGAGCAAACAGACAUUCAGAGAGCAGCUUUGGGACUUGGAGGAUUUUGAGGAAAAAGAAGCCAAACCACUUCUGAAAAAAGUUUUUAAAAAACCAUGUUCUGUGUUUUCGGCCAAAAUUGACUGGCAUUUGGAACUGUUCAUUAUUCAUUUCACCUUGACUAAAGACCUAGUUCCAGCUGAAGACAAGCAACCCCAAACCAUGAUAUUGCCUCCACCAUGCUUCACCAAGGGUAUGGUGCUCUUUUGGUGAUCUAAACUGAUUAUGCAACUUAUUAUGAACUUGUGCAGUUUAUGCAGGUUUAUUCUACAAUGGCAGAUGGCUGCGUCUCCCUCAGCCUGGUUCUCCCGGAGGUUAUAUCCUGCACUUAAACUUUUGAUAUAAAGCACCCUCGGGCGGCUCCUGUUGUGAUUUGGUUCCACAUAAAUAGAAUUGAAUUGAAAAAUCAAAUUAAAUUGGUCACAUUAAA